CGGGCCGCGGGGGGAGCCCAGCCCCAGGGGAGCCCCUCCGGGGAGCCCCCGUCCUUCAGCAGCCCCCGGCGGAGCAGGGCCUCGCGGAUCCGGAGGGCGGCCGCAGGGAAGGGGUCGGAUGCAGGACGCGGCUGCGGGACGCGCACGCGGCCGCUCGGCUCUGCGAAGCCCCCCGACACGCUCCUCGCGGUGACUGGUGGGGUGACACGAUGAGCCCGGCUCAUUCCCCGCUGCCGCGAUGAGCCGGGUGCCCGGGUGACGCGUCCCUGGGGGCUGGGGACGUGCUUCAGGUGCACCCCCAGCGCCCGCGUUCCCGCUUUUCCAGCGUACAGGCGCGCCGCAAAGCCGUGGCUGCCGGGGGUUAUCGGGGAAGUGGAAUCGCUGAAGCUAUUUGAUGAAUGGAAGUGGUUAGUGUGUGGCGAUAACUGGGCUGAAAAAGGUCGAACCUCGGGCCUGCUCGCAAGGGCACAGGUCUUGCUGCCCUAGGGUCUGUAUGUUUUAAGAAACGAGAAACAGCAGAGACUUCUUUAAAACCUUGUUUUGUUUGUUUUUUGCUCCAUGUAGAUCUGCAGGUCCAGACCUUGGCGCUAGCCUCCCCCUCCAGCUCGAUCCUCCUUCCCUGCUUUCUCARCCUUCCUUUAUCCUCUCGGCCAACCCUUGCAUCACCAGCGCCGGGACCAGCACGAGCUACAGCAUGGUCCCRUCUCCGCCCUCCUGCCCCAAGGCGUUGAUCCCCGUUCCCCCCGGCGCUGUCAGCUCCACGACGAGCGUCGCGUCUGCCAGAGAAGACCAGACGCCCUCUACCUCCACCAGUCGCUCUUCGGCGUUCGCUGCCUUCCAUGUGAGAAGCGCGCCCGCUCCCUCAAAGCAGACCGGCCAAAGGCUCCUUGUUCCUGAGGUCUCCGACAGCGCCGUUCCCGGAGGGGCGGUGGGACGGAGCAGCAGUACUGCUAGCAGUAUCGGCAUCGGCCUCGCCCUCUUUGGCGUAGGGCUCGUUGACAAAGCGUUGUUUCAGAGUUUAAUGGAAGAGAAUAGUUGCUGUUUGCUUUACAUCGUGGAAAAUCAGCUGCAGGAGGUGGAACGUGCCUUCAGCGCGGAAUUUUUGGCCAAUACCAGGGUGCUGCGGCAACAGGAUGCUGACGUUGUGCUCAGUGAUCAACGGGUCUCUGGAGCCAUUAUUUCUUCACCACCUGGAGAAGCUUCUGAGAUUGUAAUAGAUGCUUUACGAGCUGGGAAAGGUGUAUUUUGCGAGAGGCUACCCAGUUUAGACAGGCAGACAGCAGAAGCUUGUUUUGAUGAAGCUGACAGAUGUGGAAGACCAUUGGUUUGUGGAUUCUACAAACUUCUUUGUGAAACUUCUGGCCCCGUGUAUUGUGCUUUUCCUGGAUCAGAGGGUCUUGUAUCCUUUUUUCCCUCUGUUGGACAGCUUUGCUGCMGCGUUUUGACCCAGCGCUGCAGUUCUUGUAUAAAAAAGUCCGUGACAGCCAGGCAUUGGGGAGGAUUCACCGGAUAUCGGCRACCAGCAGCAUAUAUCCAGCGGCUUCUCUUAGCUUCCUAA
Molecule: long non-coding RNA, 1558 nt
Organism: Apteryx haastii (Great spotted kiwi)
Lineage: Eukaryota; Metazoa; Chordata; Aves; Apterygiformes; Apterygidae
Source: Ensembl